Molecule: small RNA, 463 nt
Filed under: Histoplasma capsulatum
Lineage: Eukaryota; Fungi; Ascomycota; Eurotiomycetes; Onygenales; Ajellomycetaceae
Also listed under: 1 other name
Description: hypothetical RNA
Source: RNAcentral
CCCCACAUUUAACCACCCGAUCAGUCUUCAAAAAUACAUCAUCAUGGACAGCAGAAGCAGCACUAUCAACGCUUUUUUCUUUUUCUCUUCUUUCUUGGUGUUGCUGUGAGUUGUAAGUGGACGCAGUAUGGUUCACAUUGAUUGACGACUGAGUGAGCGUAUACUUAUGCAGGCCUGAAAUUGCGGCGCUGGGUGUCCAACAGGAAUGGGCACAUAUUUUCUCAGAUCAACCAGCACGGAGUUAGAGUUUGACACACUAUCGAUCAACAGUGCUACCAGCGACUAUUAUUCUUAUUAUUGUUAUUUAUUUCCUGUUCCUCCUCUCUUCAAAGACCUCAUGGAAUCCUCGUGACGCAGUGUUCAUUCCCAGAAGGUCAAGAAUUCUAUCCUGAUUGCCAGUACCCAGCAAUACACGCCGAUUACCGUUCCUGUACCAUACUUGCCUUGAUGUAAACAAACAAUG